RNA transcript from Olea europaea var. sylvestris, 3451 nucleotides. RefSeq lists it as uncharacterized. The transcript is spliced from 16 exons. The record is from RefSeq and is a predicted model, not a curated record. NCBI's taxonomy places the organism in Eukaryota, Viridiplantae, Streptophyta, Magnoliopsida, Lamiales, Oleaceae.
AAAAUCCAGGGACAUUUCCAAACUAAUUCAGCCGAUCUCACAUCUUUAUAAUCAAAUUAGUCCAUUUGCUAUAAAUUCAGAAAUACCAGAAACAAUUUUCCUAAUUGAAUAAAUAUUUAAUUUGUUGAAUUGUUUAAUUAUGAGGUCAUCGUCGGUUUUCCCGGAGAAUUCAACCGCCCCCGCUCCAUCGUCGUCGAAUUUUCCUCCGUUGCAUCUGCCGAAGUCUCCUGCCUGCGCGGCUCACCACCAGAAUUUAAGACAAAGUAAUGUAUUUCACAUGUUAGCUCGGAGGGAGGUAUGUCCACGAACUAAGCGAUGUUCCAAAAGGUUUUGGGGUGAGGCUUCAAUUCACGGUUGUAAAUCCUCUGGAUUAAAACACGAAUCAGCAAAAGAUGCGAGACAAGAGCUUUUUUCAUGGGUGGAGGCAGAGUCAUUGCUACAUUUAGCGGCCAAAUAUUGCCCUCUCUUACCUUCCCCCAGGUCUACCAUUGCAGCAGCCUUCAGUCCUGAUGGGAGGACACUUGCUUCUACCCAUGGAGACCAUACUGUAAAGAUAAUUGACUACCAAACUGGAAAAUGCUUGAAAGUGUUGAACGGUCAUCGGAGGACACCUUGGGUGGUUAGGUUCCACCCACUGUAUCCCGAAGUUCUUGCAAGUGGAAGUUUAGACCAUGAAGUUCGCUUGUGGGAUUCAAAAACUGCAGAGUGUAUAGGAUCGCGUGAUUUUUACCGUCCUAUAGCUUCUAUUGCCUUUCAUGCACAAGGGGAAAUUUUAGCUGUAGCUGCGGGCCACAAGCUCUACAUGUGGCACUACAACAGGAGAGGAGAGGCUUCCUCACCGACAAUUAUCCUUAAGACACGCCGUUCACUCCGUGCUGUGCAUUUCCACCCACAUGCUGCACCAUUUCUUCUAACUGCUGAGGUCAAUGAUCUUGACUCAUCAGACCCUUCAAUGAUGCUUGCAACUUCCCCUGGGUACUUGCGCUACCCUCCUCCAACCAUAUAUUUGGCAGAUACACACUCGGAUUAUCGAUCUAGCCUGGUAAAUGACCUGCCCAUCAUGUCUAUGCCAUUUAUAAUGUGGCCUUCAAUUGGCCGAGCUGAUGGGAGAUUACCUACUCAGCAGAGUGACGUUGGCACAAUCUCUAGUGUUUCACAACAAAGGGUGGAUUACUCUGUGAGACUUCUCACAUAUUCAACUCCAUCUGGACAGUAUGAACUAGUGUUGUCUCCAAUUGAAUCUAGUAGUUAUCCUGUGCAAGAACAGUCACAAACUAAUUCUGCAACAGCAGAAAUAGGAAACACUGUUUCUCAUCCUGCCAUGGAUCCAAUGGAAAUAGAUGUGCAACCUGAAGACAGAAGCAAUCAAUAUUUUCCUUUCCGUGAUCCAGCAUACUUGGAACUCCCCUUCUUGCAAGGGUGGUUGAUUGGUCAAAGCCAAGCCGGCCAACGUGCAAUGCAUGCACAAGAUGGAGGUUCUGCUGAAGGUUUGUCUGCUUAUGGUGAAAUAAGGAAUCCAUCGUCCAUGGUUCCCCCAGUUAUUGCAAAUACUGUUAAUAAUCCAAGGGGUUCUGAAAGAUCUGGUUCACAGCACCGAUCUUCACACUCUGUUACAAUGGCAAAUCGUCCUGGAAAUGGUGCUACUCUUAGCAGUAUUCGGCAGGAGCUAAACAGUUCUCAACCUUUUGUGAACCAAGUCCAAUCUGAAGUAGCCACAUCACUGCCUGUAGGUUCAUCUGCUGAAUUACCUUGCACUGUGAAGCUAAGAAUAUGGUCUCAUGAUGUGAGAAAUCCUUGCGCAUCUCUUGAUACAGAAAGAUGUCGCUUAACAAUUCCCCAUGCUGUGCUUUGUAGUGAAAUGGGUGCACAUUUUUCACCAUGUGGAAGAUUUUUAGCAGUCUGUGUGGCAUGUAUCCUGCCAAACAUGGAAGCUGAUCCAGGUUUCCAAGGACAUGGUGAGCAUGAUGUUGGAGCAGCCUCGACAUCUCCAACUAGACAUCCCAUUUCUGCUCACCAAGUUAUGUAUGAGUUAAGGAUAUAUUCUCUUGAGGAGGCUACAUUUGGAUUGGUUCUAGCCUCACGGGCUAUCAGAGCUGCUCACUGUUUAACUUCAAUACAGUUCUCCCCUACAUCGGAGCACUUGUUACUUGCGUAUGGACGUCGUCAUAGUUCACUUCUUAAAAGUGUCGUGGUUGAUGGAGAUACAACAGUACCCAUUUACACCAUUCUGGAGAUUUACAGAGUUUCUGAUAUGGAACUUGUGAGAGUACUUCCCAGUGCAGAGGAUGAGGUCAAUGUUGCUUGCUUUCAUCCUUCAGCUGGGGGUGGCCUUGUAUAUGGAACCAAGGAAGGAAAGCUGAGGAUUCUUCGUUGGCAUCUUUCUCAUAGCUUUAAUCGGGAGGGAUCCUGUUUUCCUGAUGAAAACAUGUUUGAGGUUCCUACUUACGCGUUGGAAGGCUGAUUGUCAUUGAUUAAAGGAGCUUGAUCAUGGGAAUUUAGAUGUACAGGAUUCAAUAGCAAGUAAGAUUAAAGGAAGAUGUUACAACACUGAGAGAUUUCAUAGGGAGCAUGGGUGCUCUCCUCACAGGCAAUAGUGUCCAUGUUGCACAGCGCGUAAAAUUGCACAUCAAUUGAGAAAUGACUUAGCUGGCAUCCAUGGAUUGGAAUUUAUGUCCACGAGGCAGUGAACUCAAGAUGUACUGAUGCUUGAGAAAAGGAUCCUGCAAAUACAAAAAAGUGAGGUGUACAGACUAACAUUUUUACUUGGAAAGAAGUCGUGGCUGCUCAGACUCAUGAAAUUUGAGAAGCAAAAUUCUGCCUGUUUCAUACAUCUUAUGUAAUCUUAGAUUUGUUUACUGCAUAAAGAUAUUCGAGGAAUUGAAUAUACAACCUAAUUUAACAAGAGAACAGACUGGACUCGAGAUCAAAGUUGAGAUGUGUGAUUUUGUUUGUCAUGACUUAUCUCCUUCUGGCAAAAAAUAGCCAGAAGUCAAAUAUUUGAUCCAGAAUGCAAGGCCAGCGAAAUUUACAUCAUUGAUGAUUACUUGGAUGGACUAGACUGGGAUUGCUCCUGGCUUGGCUUGCAAAAGAACUUAUGGAUGGUUGAUUGUGAGGUAACCCUGAAAAAACUAGUAAAAUAGUGCGCUGGCCAACCCGUUAUGUGGAUCUUCAACUUGGAAGACUGUAGUAUCAAGUCAGUUCUUACAUUAAGGUAUGUCUGCAGAGGAUUGAACAACAUUUGGUUAGUUCCUGAAAAUUAUACUAGUUCUUGUGGUUCUUGUUUGACAUUUACAUUAUCAGCAUUUAUUGCUUCUUCUUCUUUUAAAAUGGUGUUAGGAAUUGAAUUUGUUUGCAUAAUGAAAGAUGUUUCUUCAGGUCAGUUUCCUGAACAAAAGGGAUUUGUAUGUGUUUUAAUGACGAUGUUUAUAAGUACUUCUGGUGUGAGUGGAAA